GCUCUUUCCCUGUGAAUUGUGCAACUGCAGAACCUGGAGAACCCCAGGAGGGAGAAGAGGAAGUUGGAGCCUAUUCCCAUGAUUAAAGACAAUGCAGAAGAAGGUAUCCUCAAGUGAGUGUCCACAAGACAACACCUGCAAGAGCUCUGCUGAAGGCAGUGCAGCCAGCUCUCUGCUUCAGUAUGGUCUCUGAUCAUCUCCCUUCCCAGCACCAAACCAUCGUGAAGGCCAGGCUGAACGGCUGCACAAAUUGACUGCUGCAUCAGCACAGCAAAUCCAGGGCCUCUCAACAGCAACAGGGAUGUCUCCUGUCUCCUUAGGUCAUAGGGUACAGGGAAGUGCUGGCCGGAUGUAAAAAGCAUCACUACAGCUUGGGGUGGAGCCAUCCCAAACCAGGUCUGAUGCAAGAAGUGAGUCAGAGACCUUUUGACACAGUUUGACCUGACAGAUGCAGCGACUCAGUGGCAGUGUGAGGAGCU
Pipra filicauda (Wire-tailed manakin) is the source of this 479-nucleotide long non-coding RNA. RefSeq lists it as uncharacterized. NCBI's taxonomy places the organism in Eukaryota, Metazoa, Chordata, Aves, Passeriformes, Pipridae. The transcript is spliced from 3 exons. The record is from RefSeq and is a predicted model, not a curated record.